ACGGGAGGCAGCAGUGGGGAAUAUUGGACAAUGGGGGAAACCCUGAUCCAGCGACGCCGCGUGAGUGAAGAAGUAUUUCGGUAUGUAAAGCUCUAUCAGCAAGGAAGAAAAUGACGGUACCUGACUAAGAAGCCCCGGCUAACUACGUGCCAGCAGCCGCGGUACUACGUAGGGGGCAAGCGUUAUCCGGAUUUACUGGGUGUAAAGGGAGCGUAGACGGUGAAGCAAGUCUGAAGUGAAAGGCAGGGGCUCAACCCCUGGACUGCUUUGGAAACUGUUUUACUAGAGUGCAGGAGAGGUAAGCGGAAUUCCUAGUGUAGCGGUGAAAUGCGUAGAUAUUAGGAGGAACACCAGUGGCGAAGGCGGCUUACUGGACUGUAACUGACGUUGAGGCUCGAAAGCGUGGGGAGCAAACAGGAUUAGAUACCCUGGUA
This 434-nucleotide ribosomal RNA is filed under the name uncultured Clostridium sp. RNAcentral describes it as "partial 16S ribosomal RNA". It matches the Rfam family "Bacterial small subunit ribosomal RNA", at positions 341 to 792 of the family's 1533-position model. The record is from RNAcentral. Lineage: Bacteria; Bacillati; Bacillota; Clostridia; Eubacteriales; Clostridiaceae.